CAUGCAGUCGAGCGGUAGAGAGAAGCUUGCUUCUCUUGAGAGCGGCGGACGGGUGAGUAAUGCCUAGGAAUCUGCCUGGUAGUGGGGGAUAACGUUCGGAAACGGACGCUAAUACCGCAUACGUCCUACGGGAGAAAGCAGGGGACCUUCGGGCCUUGCGCUAUCAGAUGAGCCUAGGUCGGAUUAGCUAGUUGGUGGGGUAAUGGCUCACCAAGGCGACGAUCCGUAACUGGUCUGAGAGGAUGAUCAGUCACACUGGAACUGAGACACGGUCCAGACUCCUACGGGAGGCAGCAGUGGGGAAUAUUGGACAAUGGGCGAAAGCCUGAUCCAGCCAUGCCGCGUGUGUGAAGAAGGUCUUCGGAUUGUAAAGCACUUUAAGUUGGGAGGAAGGGUUGUAAAUUAAUACUUUGCUGUUUUGACGUUACCGACAGAAUAAGCACCGGCUAACUCUGUGCCAGCAGCCGCGGUAAUACAGAGGGUGCAAGCGUUAAUCGGAAUUACUGGGCGUAAAGCGCGCGUAGGUGGUUAGUUAAGUUGGAUGUGAAAUCCCCGGGCUCAACCUGGGAACUGCAUUCAAAACUGACUGACUAGAGUAUGGUAGAGGGUGGUGGAAUUUCCUGUGUAGCGGUGAAAUGCGUAGAUAUAGGAAGGAACACCAGUGGCGAAGGCGACCACCUGGACUGAUACUGACACUGAGGUGCGAAAGCGUGGGGAGCAAACAGGAUUAGAUACCCUGGUAGUCCACGCCGUAAAACGAUGUCAACUAGCCGUUGGGAGCCUUGAGCUCUUAGUGGCGC
This 800-nucleotide ribosomal RNA is filed under the name Pseudomonas brenneri. Its description in RNAcentral is "bacterial SSU rRNA". It matches the Rfam family "Bacterial small subunit ribosomal RNA", at positions 54 to 849 of the family's 1533-position model. The record is from RNAcentral. Lineage: Bacteria; Pseudomonadati; Pseudomonadota; Gammaproteobacteria; Pseudomonadales; Pseudomonadaceae.